AGAGGGAUAGCUGGGUCAAAUGGUGGUUCCAUUCCCAGAUUUCCAAGGAAUCUCCAUACUGCUUUCCAUAUUGGCUGCACCAAUUUGCAGUCCUACCAGCAAU
This 103-nucleotide microRNA precursor is filed under the name Marmota monax (woodchuck). The record is from RNAcentral. Lineage: Eukaryota; Metazoa; Chordata; Mammalia; Rodentia; Sciuridae.